GACAGAGGAUGCAAGCGUUAUCCGGAAUCAUUGGGUUUAAAGGGUCCGUAGGCGGUUUGGUAAGUCAGUGGUGAAAGCCCAUCGCUCAACGGUGGAACGGCCAUUGAUACUGCCAGACUUGAAUUAUUAGGAAGUAACUAGAAUAUGUAGUGUAGCGGUGAAAUGCUUAGAGAUUACAUGGAAUACCAAUUGCGAAGGCAGGUUACUACUAAUGGAUUGACGCUGAUGGACGAAAGCGUGGGUAGCGAACAGG
Molecule: ribosomal RNA, 253 nt
Filed under: uncultured bacterium
Lineage: Bacteria
Description: partial 16S ribosomal RNA
Rfam family: Bacterial small subunit ribosomal RNA
Source: RNAcentral